GGGGAAUUUUGGACAAUGGGGGCAACCCUGAUCCAGCCAUGCCGCGUGAGUGAAGAAGGCCUUCGGGUUGUAAAGCUCUUUCAGCCGGGAAGAAAACGCACUCUCUAACAUAGGGUGUGGAUGACGGUACCGGAAGAAGAAGCACCGGCUAACUACGUGCCAGCAGCCGCGGUAAUACGUAGGGUGCAAGCGUUAAUCGGAAUUACUGGGCGUAAAGCGUGCGCAGGCGGUUUUGUAAGACAGAGGUGAAAUCCCCGGGCUCAACCUGGGAACUGCCUUUGUGACUGCAAGGCUGGAGUACGGCAGAGGGGGAUGGAAUUCCGCGUGUAGCAGUGAAAUGCGUAGAUAUGCAGAGGAACACCGAUGGCGAAGGCAAUCCCCUGGGCCUGUACUGACGCUCAUGCACGAAAGCGUGGGGAGCAAAC
RNAcentral lists this ribosomal RNA (425 nucleotides) under uncultured bacterium. Its description in RNAcentral is "bacterial SSU rRNA". It matches the Rfam family "Bacterial small subunit ribosomal RNA", at positions 356 to 773 of the family's 1533-position model. The record is from RNAcentral.